This is a long non-coding RNA of Clupea harengus (Atlantic herring), 674 nucleotides long. Lineage: Eukaryota; Metazoa; Chordata; Actinopteri; Clupeiformes; Clupeidae. The record is from Ensembl.
AGGAUGAGUUUGACCCCUUUAAGAGUGGCAGUAGGCGGAGCCACAGAUAACCACGCCCUCCAGCGGUUUUCCAAUUCCAACUGCUCCGUUUGAGUUCAUGAGUGUGUGUUCAUAUUCAUGUUCAGUGUGUGUGUGUGUUCAGUUUGAGUGUGAGUGUAUGUUCAGUGUGAGUGUGUGUGUGUUCAUUUGAGUGUGUGUUCAGUUUGAGUGUGUGUGUGUUCAGUUUGAGUGUGUGUUCAGUGUGUGUGUGUGUUCAGUUUGAGUGUGUGUUUUGAGUGUGUGUGUGUGUGUUCAGUGUGUUCAGUGUGUGUGUGUGUGUGUUCAGUUUGUGUGUGUGUUCAUAUUCAUGUUCAGUUUGUGUUCAUGUUCCGUUUACUCAUAUGCCAAAAUCUGAACAGUAAAGACUUGUGUGUACCAGUGUACCUGUGUGUGUUUGUGUGUGUGUGUGUGUGUGUGUGUGUGUACCACUGUACCUGUGUGUGUGUGUGUGUGUGUACCACUGUACCUGUGUGUGUGUGUGUGUCUCAAUGACAUUUGAAUAUCUAUCAGACCCCCCAGGAUUGUGAAUUCACCGCAGCAUUUCAAUUUGAACCAAUCACCGCAACUUUCCCGCAAAUGUGAACUCAUUUCUAUACACACACACACACACUCAUUUAUAUAUACACACACACUCA